CAACAGUAAUUAGGUGUGGCGGGUUUGAACUGAAGCUGAGCUGUCCUGAAAAAUAUAACAUCAAGAUAACUGAUGCAAAGUAUGGACGAACUAAUAAAAGGUUCUGCAGCGUUUGUGACAAAUGUUCGGUCCAAAACAUCAACUGCCAUUUACCCCAAACACUGGCCAUAGUGUCUGAAAGAUGUAAUGAGAAGAGGAGAUGCUCCAUACGAGUGGACUACAGCACGUUCCCUGAUCCAUGUCCUGACACGUACAAGUACCUGGUAGUCAAAUUUUGCUGCAUCCAAAGGUACUGUAUCGUUGGAAGCAGUGCAGUUGCAUACUUUUUAUUUUACUAAUCGGCUAUGUCUAAAUUGGUGGUCUCAAAUCCUGGAGGGCUGUUCCUUUGCAUAGUUUAGGUUCAACCAACUCACACCUGCUUAGCCGUUUUUAGUAGUCUUGAACACCUUGAUUGAUUGGAUCAGUUGUGUUUGAUUAGGGUUGGAGCAAAAGUUUGCUGAGCUGCGUCCCUCCAGGAAUCAAGUUUGAGACUUACAGUAUGGUCUAAAUUUAAUGGUUUCUCUUCUCUUGCAGCUCAGAGGACCCAUUGAUUUGAAUUCCUAAGCUUAAUUUUUGUCAGCAUCUCCUCCACAUUGGCUGCACUAAAAACAAGUCUUUAAGACUGUACUUGCAAAGAUUACUCAUGGGCCUUGUGUGUGUGUGUGUGUGUGUGUGUGUGUGUGUGUGUGUGUGAGAGAGAGAGAGAGAGACUGAGACUUUCAAUAAAUCCUUUUAAAAUGCAAACAUUCUGUUCUUGAGAGAAGUUGAUGCCCAUUUGUUUACCCACAGUACUGUUC
Non-coding RNA from Danio rerio (zebrafish), 836 nucleotides. Lineage: Eukaryota; Metazoa; Chordata; Actinopteri; Cypriniformes; Danionidae. The record is from RefSeq and is a predicted model, not a curated record.